UACGUAGGGUCCGAGCGUUGUCCGGAAUUAUUGGGCGUAAAGGGCUCGUAGGCGGUCUGUUGCGUCGGGAGUGAAAACUUACAGCUUAACUGUGAGCGUGCUUUCGAUACGGGCAGACUUGAGGCAUUCAGGGGAGAACGGAAUUCCUGGUGUAGCGGUGAAAUGCGCAGAUAUCAGGAAGAACACCCGUGGCUAAGGCGGUUCUCUAGUACGGUACUGACGCUGAGACGCGAAAGCGUGGGGAGCGAACAGG
This 253-nucleotide ribosomal RNA is filed under the name uncultured bacterium. Its description in RNAcentral is "partial 16S ribosomal RNA". It matches the Rfam family "Bacterial small subunit ribosomal RNA", at positions 524 to 776 of the family's 1533-position model. The record is from RNAcentral.